RNAcentral lists this ribosomal RNA (777 nucleotides) under uncultured Neocallimastigales. Its description in RNAcentral is "partial large subunit ribosomal RNA". It matches the Rfam family "Eukaryotic large subunit ribosomal RNA", at positions 19 to 649 of the family's 3401-position model. Lineage: Eukaryota; Fungi; Neocallimastigomycota; Neocallimastigomycetes; Neocallimastigales. The record is from RNAcentral.
CGAGCACGCGCGUGUGGCAUAUCAAUAAGCGGAGGAAAAGAAACUAACAAGGAUUCCCUUAGUAACGGCGAGUGAAGCGGGAAGAACUCAAAUUUGAAAUCUUCAAGGUUCUACCUUGACGAAUUGUAGUUUAUAGAAGUGUUUUCUGUUAGUGGAGUGGCAAAAGUUCUUUGGAAUAGGACAUCAUAGAGGGUGAGAAUCCCGUAUUUGGUCAUUCCUUCCUAGCGUUGUGAUACACUUUCAACGAGUCGGAUUGUUUGGGAAUGCAGUCCAAAAUGGGUGGUAAAUUUCAUCUAAAGCUAAAUAUUGGCGAGAGACCGAUAGCGAACAAGUACCGUGAGGGAAAGAUGAAAAGAACUUUGAAAAGAGAGUUAAACAGUACGUGAAAUUGUCAAAAGGGAAGCGUUUGACACCAGUGUUGUUUUUCCGAAAAUCAAUUACGAAUGUUUUAGUUUUUAAGGAGUUAUGACUUCAUCGGCUUGCUUCUCUCUUUAUGAAACUUUCUUAAUGCACUUUUCGGUUAACAAGUCAACAUCAAUUUCUUUUGUUGUAAAAGGGUAUGAGGAAGGUGGCUUUCUUUUCGGAGAAAGUGUUUAUAGCCUUGGACCUCUGCAAUCGGAGAGAUUGAGGUCCUGCAGCGUAGAUCCUUCGGGGUUAGAUACACUUGUGCUAAGUUAUAGCUUUUCAUAGACAACUUGUUGACUAUGUUUAGUCUUGUAGCUUACUCGCCUAUGCUAUUUUACCUACGCUUAGGAUGUUGAGUAGCGACAUACGCAC